RNAcentral lists this ribosomal RNA (253 nucleotides) under uncultured bacterium. RNAcentral describes it as "partial 16S ribosomal RNA". It matches the Rfam family "Bacterial small subunit ribosomal RNA", at positions 524 to 776 of the family's 1533-position model. The record is from RNAcentral.
UACAGAGGUCUCAAGCGUUGUUCGGAUUCAUUGGGCGUAAAGGGUGCGUAGGCGGGUCUUUAAGUCAGGGGUGAAAUCCUGGAGCUCAACUCCAGAACUGCCUUUGAUACUGAAGAUCUUGAGUUCGGGAGAGGUGAGUGGAACUGCGAGUGUAGAGGUGAAAUUCGUAGAUAUUCGCAAGAACACCAGUGGCGAAGGCGGCUCACUGGCCCGGUACUGACGCUGAGGCGCGAAAGCGUGGGGAGCAAACAGG